AAAGUGGUGGUUCAGUGGUAGAAUUCUUUGUCUUUCAUGCAGAAGAUUUGGGUUCAUUUCCCAGCUAAUGUA
RNAcentral lists this transfer RNA (72 nucleotides) under Loxodonta africana (African savanna elephant). It matches the Rfam family "tRNA". Rfam says of the family: Transfer RNA (tRNA) molecules are approximately 80 nucleotides in length. Their secondary structure includes four short double-helical elements and three loops (D, anti-codon, and T loops). Further hydrogen bonds mediate the characteristic L-shaped molecular structure. tRNAs have two regions of fundamental functional importance: the anti-codon, which is responsible for specific mRNA codon recognition, and the 3' end, to which the tRNAs corresponding amino acid is attached (by aminoacyl-tRNA synthetases). tRNAs cope with the degeneracy of the genetic code in two manners: having more than one tRNA (with a specific anti-codon) for a particular amino acid; and 'wobble' base-pairing, i.e. permitting non-standard base-pairing at the 3rd anti-codon position. Lineage: Eukaryota; Metazoa; Chordata; Mammalia; Proboscidea; Elephantidae. The record is from Rfam by way of RNAcentral.